Daphnia magna is the source of this 1057-nucleotide long non-coding RNA. RefSeq lists it as uncharacterized. NCBI's taxonomy places the organism in Eukaryota, Metazoa, Arthropoda, Branchiopoda, Diplostraca, Daphniidae. The transcript has 3 exons. The record is from RefSeq and is a predicted model, not a curated record.
UUGUUCAACGAAUGUUUGACGUUCUUCUUGAAGCUUGCUUGAAAAAUCCAAUCUUCUGUGUACGCCGUACAUGAUGUUGGAACUUCAAACACGUCAAAAGGUUCACGUUUAAUCACUGUGUUAGUUUUUCCUCUGCUGUUUGGACAAGUUAUGGUGAUUGUCAUUUGUUGUGCUGAGGUGUAUCCCCAUCUUCGGUGUCCCAGGUAUACAGUUUGUUGUCCGGUCCAUGGAGAUAAUUUCGUUGAACAUUGUACGCGGCUUCUUUUCUCAUCUUUUAGAAACAAUGCCAUUGCGCAGCUUGGCUCCCUAUGCCUUUUGUUUAUUGCUUUGCUGAUAGGGCAAAUCGAUGUGGUUGUCAUCAUGCAGCGAUGUGCUUCGUGUGUUGACAAUUCGGUAAACGCUUGUCUAUCGUUUGCCACAGCUAAGAAUGCCGGUAACGGAUGAAACUGUGCCCCUUGGGUGGCGUUUUUCGUUGGUCUUGGCAAGCUUAUUACCUCGUAUAGAGUGAAUCCAAAUGGGAACUCGAACACAGACUUGCCAGGUGUCUCCCAUUUGAAUAGAAGGGCUCAAUGACCAUCGCUCAUUGACCAUCGCAAUAACACUGCUUGGAUUUGCAUAGGUGGGAAAAGUAGUGCUGGAAGUCUUUCUAUUGCCAUUGUUGCUAGGCCGAAGGCAAAAUCUUCAAUCGAUUCGUCCAGCCAUGCCAAGGCUGACUUGAUUUCACGAAAGGUGUUUUCAAUGGCUGCUCUGGCUAUUUCAUGUUUUUCAACUUCUUGGCGUUUUGCAGUUCUUCAACGGCGUUCGACGUUGAUUUUGUUUCCCAAAGCGUCUCGUUGAUUAGUGACGCGUGCACUUCCAAUGCGUGAGCGAUUGAAGUGGUUUCUGUUGAUAACUUUUCAACAUGAUUGUUGACGUGUUCUAGAUCUUCUUCAGUUGACACCCCAAAGAGCCAAUUGAGAACUUUUCCUCCUCCAUCGAUUAGGCCUCUUUUCUUACGGGUACUGCCUAUAUUUACUGCUUGUUUUAGUUCUCUAAGUCUUUCUUGACUCUUUUUCAG